CGGACGGGUGAGUAACGCGUGGAUAACCUGCCUCACACUGGGGGAUAACAGUUAGAAAUGGCUGCUAAUACCGCAUAAGCGCACAGUACCGCAUGGUACGGUGUGAAAAACCCAGGUGGUGUGAGAUGGAUCCGCGUCUGAUUAGCCAGUUGGCGGGGUAACGGCCCACCAAAGCGACGAUCAGUAACCGACCUGAGAGGGUGACCGGCCACAUUGGGACUGAGACACGGCCCAA
Molecule: ribosomal RNA, 235 nt
Filed under: uncultured bacterium
Lineage: Bacteria
Description: partial 16S ribosomal RNA
Rfam family: Bacterial small subunit ribosomal RNA
Source: RNAcentral